ACACCAUUCUGAGAAAAAAUAAUAACUCUUCAUUUCUGCUACUGAAAUUCCUCUCUGAUCCAUCAUCAGAGAAGAAAGAGGUCCACUUUUCCCUUCCCCUGCUCAGAACACACUGCCCUGAGAAGUCUUGCUCUGCACUCCGAAGACAGAAACCUCACCCUGGCACUUGCUGGAUUUCCUACUUUGUCUCAAGCAUCUGGUCUCCUUCAGGGACAAGUGCUAUGCUCAUGCUAGAUUAGAAGAAAAUACCAUUGUGAAUUCAAUGCUGUCAGUUGGAAACUCCUCUUCAGUUCAUUUGCCCAAAGUCACACUCCCAUCAUCAAUCCUACUCCUUUUCCUCCCCCUGCAUUUGCACAGAGGAAUGAGCCCUUCGAAGGCAGAGCCUCUUCCCAGAAUAUGAGAGCAGAGAGGUCUUAUGAGAAAAACCUGGGUCUUCCUGGGAGUUAACAAACAGCUAAUAGGAAGGAAGGGAGGGGAAAUGAAUCCCAGGCUUUCUUAAAACAUAUCAGGAAACCCUACACUGUCUGCUCCCCCUGUCUCUUUCAGUGCAGGAGAGAGGAAAUUGAUAAUGCUGCUUUACUUGGCAGUCAAAUUUUUCCUCUUAAUUCUGUUUAACCAUGUCCUGUAUGGCCACAGAUCUGCCACUACCCAAAUAUAUACCAAAUAUACACCAAAUGUAUGUUUAUGAAUAUCACCCUGAAGAAGAGCUUUAAAAUAUGAGGUAUUAUCUAUUACUCUGAAAUCAAAUUCAAACAGAAAACUUUAAUUACGUCACAUUGAAGUAAAUAUUAAACACCCUAUUACAGAGUAUUAGUUUGCAUACACUGCGUUGACAGAGAAUUGUUACAAUCCUAGCAGGAAGAGGUUCAACUUUCAACAUGAAAUCAUGGACAAAUGUGACAAUCUUGAAAUGUGACAACCAAGAAAAAGACUGAAAAAAAAUUAAGAACAGAUGAGUUUCAUGCAAACAUCACUUGUUUUGCAAAUUGAUUAUAUCAAGCAGAUGGACCACUUCAUCUUGCAGCUGUGCUACAUGUUCUGGAUCAAAGGGUUUUCCAACUUAAGCACCCAGAAAUGGACAGGAAGGAAGGAUAGGAACAGCCUAGCGGUGGAACUCCACCAUGAUACACACUGCCACUGUGUUGUGUACUCAGGGUUCAAAGAAAAGGUCUGCUUCUGACUGCAGGCAGAGCGUUGCACAUUGACAAAGCAGCCACGCUGACCUACAGCUGUUCACUCUGUGAUUCCUCCUUUCCCAGGGACCUGCAAAAUACUUUGAACAGUAACUUCAAGUUUUCUUGGGAAUCAUUAAAUUAAAAUGCCAUCACUUUCUUCACCACUAAAUGUUCCUACUACUCCUUUUGAUCUUUUUGUUUGCACAGAUGCCUUAUCUUUACAGGACAUCUCAAAUGCCCUACUGUGAUUUUCCCCCAAAUCCUAACAAUUAUUUACAGGCCCUUCCUUACAUCCUCACAUUUGAUGUGAUGCUGAAAGAUACACACUAAGGAGCAUGUAUCCGUCCUAACUGUACAGAGCAGCAGGCUCUGGCACCAGAAUCAUCACUGUUCUAGAGUUUUUUCUAAAUUUAUUCCAUUUCUCCACACUUCUCCAUAUCUCCUGAUAAGCCACUGCCCCUGGUGUUGCAUUUCUCCUACUGUAGACCAUGUUUUUCAGGGAAAAGAGUACAUCUCACAGACUAGAAACAUGGCAGCUCUCAGGCACUUCAAGAUCUCACCACGCACACAGGGCACAAGAGUCCCCCUGUGCACCCUGUGUCUUCCACCAACCCUCUCAUUUUCCCUGGAGUUCUGGCAGGCAGGAGAAACUCCAGUAUCAGAAGGGCCCUCACACCCCCAGUACCAACCCAGAGGGCUGCAGGACUGAUCUCACAGGAAGAAUAUAAAAGACUCUGAAAAUUACAUGGGGAACUACAUCUACCAUACACAUCUGCAGAGCCCAGAAAUUAUUGCUUCUUGGAUCAGUUUCUAAAAGCAUAUAUACAAAAAGGGUACAUACAAGCUAAACCUUGCCAUGUGGAUCUUCCAGCACACUUGCAGUAACAGUGGAAAUGAAAUGAGGGGGAAGAAGAGUGAAAAUGUUGUUUAGAUUCUUCUCUUUAAAUCAUGUGUCAUCAAUUAUGCCCUGCAUACUUAUUUUGUUGAGAACAGUCAUACAAACAGAAAGAUAAAUUGGACUCAUUCUACAUUCUUGUAUGGACUGAUUGUUUUGCACACAUUGAAAGAUAAUAUACAAGUUACUUCUAAUCUGAAAUGUAAGUUGUUUUAUUGAGCU
Molecule: long non-coding RNA, 2292 nt
Organism: Melospiza melodia melodia
Lineage: Eukaryota; Metazoa; Chordata; Aves; Passeriformes; Passerellidae
Exons: 3
Source: RefSeq, a predicted model, not a curated record